CUGAGAUGAAUUCCAACACACAUCAAUUUGCUGCUUUGUACUGGACACGUGUGUGGCUGCAGUAGAAGGGUGAAAAGCAUUAUCAUCAGAUAUUUGCUUCAUCUUUCUUAAACUUUGAACUUGUUCCCUCCCUUUCAUCUUCUUCUUCUCUUUAUGAAAUGAAUAGUGGUUUGUCGGAGAUGGCGGUGAAUUGAGAGUAUUUUCAACAACCCCUCAAGUUGGAGGGGAGAGGAAAGAGACCCAACUUGGGAAGAAUGGUGUGAUGAGAAGGCCCAGAGAGAGAUUUCAUAAAUAGAUCGGCGAGUUGAAAUGAAGCCGGAACAUACGAAAGAGAGAUUAGUCCAGCAAAAAAUUAUAAUCUAACUCCACAUGCUUGGUAUGUUCGUGAAAAACGGGAUUCCGAGCUAUGUGUAUUGCCGAUUGACUAUCGGAAUGAACAGGAAUAGGAAGAUCUGGUGGAUUUCCAAGGUCUAGAAGAAAACGAUUGAGCCAAGUCAGCUCUGCUACUACUCGCCUCAUGGAUCGAUAUUCGGCCUCCGCCGAUGACAAAGAAACAGAGAGUUGCUUUUUGGAUUUCCAUGACAUGGGUGACCCUCCAAGAGUAAUAAAGUAUCCACUUAUCAAUCUACGAGUAUCCACACAAUAACCCUAAUCCGCAUCGCAAAAGGCAAACAAUUUCAAAGAAGGGUCUUUUGACAGAAACAGUCCCUGACUAGGAUUGAUGAGGAGAUAUCGAAGCACACGUAGAGCAGCAAAAAAAUGACUAGUACGUAGCUCUUUCAUGAACUGAGAGAGAUGUUAGACGGAAAAACAUAUGUCAGGCCGGUUGUGAGUAAGGGUCUAAGGGUGAAGUGAUGACUGGAAGAUGAGAACAAUCAUAUUCGGACAGCAGCUCCAUAGUGUACUUUGUUGAGUGAUGAUCAUCCUAUGAUCUUCUCGGAGGAUUUCAAGACCUAAGAAAUAAUGUGAUAGAGUUUUGCCCCAUUAGGCUGGCCAAAACGAUCCUUAAGAUUUUUCCAAAGAGCUUCUGUUGUUUUUGAAUAGAUGACACUAUCAGCAAUCUCUUUUGACAGAGAGUUGAGUAACCAUAAGGUUACCAUGUUGUUGGUUCUGUCCCAAAAUUUGAAGUCUGGUGAAUCAGAUUCUGGUGCUUUGCAAGUUCCAUCGAUGAAGACCAACUUGUUCUUAGCGGAUAGGACAAUGAGGUUGGACCUUCUCCAACCACCAUAGCCUUUAUCUUCAAAGAUGGAAUUCACAAGAGACAUCCCAGGAGAAUCUGAAGGAUGAAAAAAAAAUAGGGAUUGCUUGAAUCCAUUAAUCUGGAUCCAACAGUCUCUGAAGAAGAAGCAGAAUUUGUUCCCAUUGAUCUAGGAAAUCAACCUACUUCUCUGAUACCAUGAAGAAAAAACAAGAAAUUUGAAGAGUAAAGAAAUUAAAGAAAAAAGAAAAAAACACAGAUGAUUGAAAAUUCUCUCUUUUCUGAUGAUUCUCAUUGACUACUUGUUCCCUUAUUUAUACAAGUAUUUACAAAUAAACACAAUGAUAAAGAAAUAUAACGUUUUGUA
This is a long non-coding RNA of Capsicum annuum, 1565 nucleotides long. RefSeq lists it as uncharacterized. NCBI's taxonomy places the organism in Eukaryota, Viridiplantae, Streptophyta, Magnoliopsida, Solanales, Solanaceae. The transcript has 3 exons. The record is from RefSeq and is a predicted model, not a curated record.